GACGAACGCUGGCGGCGUGCCUAACACAUGCAAGUCGAACGGGAUUUAGCGGUAGCUUGCUACAGCGAAGAUCUAGUGGCGGACGGGUGAGUAACACGUGAGCAAUCUGCCUUAAAGAGGGGGAUAACGUCUGGAAACGGACGCUAAUACCGCAUAACGUAUCGAGUGGGCAUCCACAUGAUACCAAAGGAGCAAUCCGCUUUAAGAUGAGCUCGCGUCUGAUUAGCUAGUUGGUGAGGUAACGGCUCACCAAGGCGACGAUCAGUAGCCGGACUGAGAGGUUGAACGGCCACAUUGGGACUGUGACACGGCCCAGACUCCUACGGGAGGCAGCAGUGGGGAAUAUUGCGCAAUGGGGGAAACCCUGACGCAGCAACGCCGCGUGAAGGAUGAAGGUUUUCGGAUUGUAAACUUCUUUGACGAGGGACGAAAGAAAUGACGGUACCUCGAAAACAAGCCACGGCUAACUACGUGCCAGCAGCCGCGGUAAUACGUAGGUGGCGAGCGUUGUCCGGAUUUACUGGGUGUAAAGGGCGAGUAGGCGGGAUUUCAAGUCUGAUGUGAAAACUAUCGGCUUAACUGGUAGACUGCAUUGGAAACUGAGAUUCUUGAGUGAUGGAGAGGCAGGCGGAAUUCCUAGUGUAGCGGUGAAAUGCGUAGAUAUUAGGAGGAACACCAGUGGCGAAGGCGGCCUGCUGGACAUUAACUGACGCUGAGGCGCGAAAGCGUGGGGAGCAAACAAAAUUAGAUACCCUGGUAGUCCCCGCUGUAAACGAU
RNAcentral lists this ribosomal RNA (777 nucleotides) under uncultured bacterium. RNAcentral's name for it is "bacterial SSU rRNA". It matches the Rfam family "Bacterial small subunit ribosomal RNA", at positions 28 to 810 of the family's 1533-position model. The record is from RNAcentral.